AACGAACGCUGGCGGCAGGCUUAACACAUGCAAGUCGAACGCAUCGCAAGAUGAGUGGCAGACGGGUGAGUAACGCGUGGGAAUCUACCCAUCUCUGCGGAAUAGCCCUGGGAAACUGGAAUUAAUACCGCAUACGCCCUACGGGGGAAAGAUUUAAAGGGGAUGGAUGAGCUCGCGUUGGAGUAGCUAGUUGGUGGGGUAAAAGCCUACCAAGGCGACGAUCCAUAGCUGGUCUGAGAGGAUGAUCAGCCACAUUGGGACUGAGACACGGCCCAGACUCCUACGGGAGGCAGCAGUGGGGAAUAUUGGACAAUGGGCGCAAGCCUGAUCCAGCCAUGCCGCGUGAGUGAUGAAGGCCUUAGGGUUGGAAAGCUCGUUCACCGAUGAAGAUAAUGACGGUAGUCGGAGAAGAAGCCCCGGCUAACUUCGUGCCAGCCGCCGCCGUAA
This 447-nucleotide ribosomal RNA is filed under the name uncultured bacterium. Its description in RNAcentral is "partial 16S ribosomal RNA". It matches the Rfam family "Bacterial small subunit ribosomal RNA", at positions 29 to 523 of the family's 1533-position model. The record is from RNAcentral.